This 497-nucleotide ribosomal RNA is filed under the name uncultured bacterium. RNAcentral's name for it is "partial 16S ribosomal RNA". It matches the Rfam family "Bacterial small subunit ribosomal RNA", at positions 28 to 507 of the family's 1533-position model. The record is from RNAcentral.
GAUGAACGCUGGCGGCGUGCCUAAUACAUGCAAGUCGAGCGAACAGAUGAGGAGCUUGCUCCUCUGACGUUAGCGGCGGACGGGUGAGUAACACGUGGAUAACCUACCUAUAAGACUGGGAUAACUUCGGGAAACCGGAGCUAAUACCGGAUAAUAUAUUGAACCGCAUGGUUCAAUAGUGAAAGACGGUUUUGCUGUCACUUAUAGAUGGAUCCGCGCCGCAUUAGCUAGUUGGUAAGGUAACGGCUUACCAAGGCAACGAUGCGUAGCCGACCUGAGAGGUUGAUCGGCCACACUGGAACUGAGACACGGUCCAGACUCCUACGGGAGGCAGCAGUAUGGAAUCUUCCGCAAAGGGCGAAAGCCUGACGGAGCAACGCCGCGUGAGUGAUGAAGGUCUUCGGAUCGUAAAACUCUGUUAUUAGGGAAGAACAAAUGUGUAAGUAACUAUGCACGUCUUGACGGUACCUAAUCAGAAAGCCACGGCUAACUACGUG